GAUGAACGCUAGCGGCAGGCCUAAUACAUGCAAGUCGAGGGAGAAUGUUGGAUUCGUCUGACAUGAAACCGGCGCACGGGUGCGUAACACGUAUGCAACCUACCUUUAACUGGGGUAUAGCUCAGAGAAAUCUGAGUUAAUCCCCCAUCAGACUACGACAUGGCAUCAUGAUGUAGUUAAAGCUCCGGCGGUUAGGGAUGGGCAUGCGGUACAUUAGCUAGGUGGUGAGGUAAUGGAUCACCAAGGCUAGGAUGUAUAGGGGGUCUGAGAGGAUGAUCCCCCACACUGGUACUGGGACACGGACCAGACUCCUACGGGAGGCAGCAGUAGGGAAUAUUGGUCAAUGGACGCAAGUCUGAACCAGCCAUGCCGCGUGAAGGAUGAAGGCCCUAUGGGUCGUAAACUUCUUUUAUUAGGGAAGAAAAAACGGGAUGCGUCCUGUACUGACGGUACUUAAUGAAUAAGGAUCGGCUAACUUCGUGCCAGCCGCCGCUGUAA
This 498-nucleotide ribosomal RNA is filed under the name uncultured bacterium. RNAcentral's name for it is "partial 16S ribosomal RNA". It matches the Rfam family "Bacterial small subunit ribosomal RNA", at positions 28 to 523 of the family's 1533-position model. The record is from RNAcentral.